GUGCGUGCCAAGUUAAAAUGUAUUGCGUUCAUUGUUUACAUUUUAUUUUUUAAUCCAUCUUAAAAUAAAAAUAACAAAUUAAGAAUUAAAUUCAGAGUUAAGUAUUUCCGGAAAGCAUUUACUUACCAUUUCAACAACUACGAGUAGGUUUUGCACCAAGUUUACCUCCUGAGCUAAUAUGGGAGCAAAACUGGAUUUUGGAUUGAAUGAAAUGUAAUAGUUGGUGAUGCAAAACGACAUUCAAGAUACAAUAUUCCAUUGAGUUGUACCAAUGAUUGAAGAGGUACUUGAAGUUCAGAGGCACGCCGCAAUCUUCAACUCCGACACAUCUCUACAGAGAACAGAGGAUGCGGAUUACGACAACACUCCGCAUACAAUGCAAUCCUGUAGACAACACUAAAGUCACAAAAAGUGGAUCCACAGUGAAAGUGGACAAUGUACUGCAACAAACCUGAUGAUCUUUCACGGCACACAGACAUCGAACUGCAGAGGCCAAGACUCUCAGGUUAAAUGGUUCAUGACUGGUGAGCACGGAUUAAUGACUUCAGCGCUACUGCUUUGUUCCUGUGUUGUGUUUCCUCCCCCCGCCCCCACAAUCUCUGCAUGUUACUUUCUUUCUUUCUUUCUUUACUUCUUUCUUUCUUUCUUUCUUUCUUUCUUUCUUUCUUUCUUCUUUCUUUCUUUCUUUCUUUCUUUCUCAAAGAGAUCUUGCAGAGUCAGCAACCAGCUAUGGGUUUUGAUCUAAUUUGAGGAUGGUGAAAACGCUUAUCUGUUGUGUUGGCAGUAAAAUGACUCUGCAUUAUCUCCUUUUCAGUCACAAUCUCCUGCACAUGAGAGGCAAUUAUCUUGACAGGAUCUGGCAUUAAAGGCAAUACCUUCCCUGUGGCAUUAACAUUUACAUUUUUGCUUCCUCUCCUUAAAAGCAUCGAUUAACGUGUACAUUAAAUUGCAUUUUUACUGAGCAGUCACAACUUUAAAAAAAAAAACAUUUUCCUUACUGAGAUGUGUCAUUGAGCGUUACGUUAGAAAUGCUAUUGCAAACAAUGCCAUUGGCAAUAAAUUAAAGUGCUUAAACAGAGUUUGUAUUUUAAAACAUACAAGUGAUGAUCGUGAGGUGUCAUGUUUGACAAUCAAACGUCACAAUAUUUUCUAUUGCUAUCAAUGACAAAACCGAACCCCCUGCUACCGUAAUAUUUUACCCAAUUUCUAGAAAGGGAGUUACAAUUCUUUUCAUACCUGUGAAAUGAACCGCCAUGUACGAACCAGUGAGAACCACCUCUACGCUUCACACUUUUCACCUUAACACAUUUUAAAAAUAAAAUGUAUGAUUGUUAUUACAGUUAUGAUUAUAUCAUAACAAUACUGUAUUUGUUGCUGUUAUUAUUACAUAUCCUCUUUUCACCAAAUGCAUCUCACAGACAUCUGCAAUGUCAUAUUUUUACUUCAUUUCCCAUUCACAGCAGUAAUCCAUCAGCUUUUUUUUCUUUUUAAAUGUGAUGCAAACCUGCCAACAUUGCAAGAUGAUUACAUUUAGAUGGGAUCAUUAUUAUAACAUGAAAUUUCAGGUCCUAUAGCGAACAGGAAACACUCUGUUUACUUUACAAG
Syngnathoides biaculeatus (alligator pipefish) is the source of this 1605-nucleotide long non-coding RNA. RefSeq lists it as uncharacterized. The record is from RefSeq and is a predicted model, not a curated record. The transcript is spliced from 4 exons. Lineage: Eukaryota; Metazoa; Chordata; Actinopteri; Syngnathiformes; Syngnathidae.